RNAcentral lists this ribosomal RNA (341 nucleotides) under Escherichia coli. Its description in RNAcentral is "bacterial SSU rRNA". It matches the Rfam family "Bacterial small subunit ribosomal RNA", at positions 1 to 338 of the family's 1533-position model. RNAcentral also lists the same sequence under 1 other name. The record is from RNAcentral. Lineage: Bacteria; Pseudomonadati; Pseudomonadota; Gammaproteobacteria; Enterobacterales; Enterobacteriaceae.
AAAUUGAAGAGUUUGAUCAUGGCUCAGAUUGAACGCUGGCGGCAGGCCUAACACAUGCAAGUCGAACGGUAACAGGAAACAGCUUGCUGUUUCGCUGACGAGUGGCGGACGGGUGAGUAAUGUCUGGGAAACUGCCUGAUGGAGGGGGAUAACUACUGGAAACGGUAGCUAAUACCGCAUAACGUCGCAAGACCAAAGAGGGGGACCUUAGGGCCUCUUGCCAUCGGAUGUGCCCAGAUGGGAUUAGCUAGUAGGUGGGGUAAUGGCUCACCUAGGCGACGAUCCCUAGCUGGUCUGAGAGGAUGACCAGCCACACUGGAACUGAGACACGGUCCAGACUC